GUGCCAGCAGCCGCGGUAAUUCCAGCUCCAAUAGCGUAUAUUAAAGUUGUUGUGGUUAAAAAGCUCGUAGUUGAACCUUGGGCCUGGCUGGCCGGUCCGCCUCACCGCGUGCACUGGUCCGGCCGGGCCUUUCCCUCUGUGGAACCCCAUACCCUUCACUGGGCGUGGCGGGGAAACAGGACAUUUACUUUGAAAAAAUUAGAGUGCUCCAGGCAGGCCUAUGCUCGAAUACAUUAGCAUGGAAUAAUAAAAUAGGACGCGCGGUUCUAUUUUGUUGGUUUAUAGGACCGCCGUAAUGAUGAGUAGGGACAGUCGGGGGCAUCAGUAUUCAACUGUCAGAGGUGAAAUUCUUGGAUCAGUUGAAGACUAACUACUGCGAAAGCAUUUGCCAAGGAUGUUUUCAUUAAUCAGGAACGAAAGUUAGGGGAUCGAAGACGAUCAGAUACCGUCGUAGUCUUAACCAUAAACUAUGCCGACUAGGGAUCGGACGGUGUUAUUCAUGACCCGUUCGGCACCUUACGAGAAAUCAAAGUGCUUGGGCUCCAGGGGGAGUAUGGUCGCAAGGCUGAAACUUAAAGAAAUUGACGGAAGGGCACCACCAGGGGUGGAGCCUGCGGCUUAAUUUGACUCAACACGGGGAAACUCACCAGGUCCAGACACAAUAAGGAUUGACAGAUUGAGAGCUCUUUUCUUGAUUUUGUGGGUGGUGGUGCAUGGACCGUUCUUAGUUGGUGGGGUGACUUGUCUGCUUAAUUGCGAUAAAC
RNAcentral lists this ribosomal RNA (764 nucleotides) under uncultured fungus. RNAcentral describes it as "SSU rRNA". It matches the Rfam family "Eukaryotic small subunit ribosomal RNA", at positions 564 to 1333 of the family's 1831-position model. Lineage: Eukaryota; Fungi. The record is from RNAcentral.